ACUCUGACCACGUUUAAAACAAGACUGAAAACUUUUAUGUUCAGCUUCGCCUUCUGAUAAAUUUGACCUACAUUGCACUUUUUACCUCUGCCUUUAAUUGAACAAUUUAAAUAAGAUUUUAAUCUAUAAUUUUAUUUGCUGUUUUUAAUUCCUUUAAUUCCUGCAUUUUAUUUCACUUUAUUGUAUGAAAUGUUAUGAUGUGAAGCACUUUGAGUCUGCCUUGUGUAUGAAAAGUGCUAUACAAAUAAAAUUGCCUUGCCUUGCCUUAAAGGACUGAAACAGCAGGUGAGACAAACAGAGCGUCUCUCAGGUGUGUUUCAGGAACAAAGGCCCAGGUGAGCUCUGUGGUCCCUGCUGGGUCCUAGUGCCCCUCCGUCUGCUACCUUCCCCUCCUCAUCAGUAACAGUCCUCACAGACCCCAGAUCAGACUGAGCUCCUCUUCUUCAUCACAGCGUCAUCAUUCAGACUAACAGCAGCUUCUCUCUGCCUGCUCACACAGGCGCCAUCUUGUUUCCCAGCUUUAAACAAUCACACCUUCACGACCAUCAAUGAUGUCAUUCGACCAAUCACAGCUGCACUUACUGAGCUCGUAGACAUGAACUUCCUCAGUGAGCAGCUCUCUUCUGUCCUCAGCAGGUCCGUGUAGAAAAGGAGCUCCGUGCUUCACUUCAGCUUCCAUCAGACGGAGUGAAGUGUUGCAGCUUGUUGGAGCUUGUUGUCCUUCAUCAGAGAGGGUGUGUCCUCAGAGAGGUUGACUGAGUCUCAGUCUGAGCUGUUAACAGGGUCAAAGGUCCUCGUGAACAGAAUCCUCCUCACGGCUCAACAAGAGUCUUUCAGGAACAAAACCAGCAUCUGUGGAACGAUCCUUCCACCUUGUAAAGAGUUGCUAUGACAACAGACUGGAUGCUGUUGUUGGACCAGAUGGUUCAGAGGACCCGUGCACGCCCCUCUUUGUCACCUGGUCUUCUUCUACAUGUAGACUAGUAGGGAACAUGUGAUGAAGCAGAAACCUUUGUAACAAAUGUAGUGAAGAGUUUAUAUUGAAUAAAAACAUCCACUAAGACAACAGAGUCUGAGCUGAGAGUGUUUUUAUUCUUCACUC
Gasterosteus aculeatus aculeatus (three-spined stickleback) is the source of this 1102-nucleotide long non-coding RNA. The record is from Ensembl. Lineage: Eukaryota; Metazoa; Chordata; Actinopteri; Perciformes; Gasterosteidae.